Long non-coding RNA from Pezoporus occidentalis (night parrot), 301 nucleotides. RefSeq lists it as uncharacterized. The record is from RefSeq and is a predicted model, not a curated record. The transcript is spliced from 2 exons. Lineage: Eukaryota; Metazoa; Chordata; Aves; Psittaciformes; Psittacidae.
CUCGUUUGGUGCGCUGCAUUGUGGCUGAUCCUGGUUGUGACCAUGGGAGUUGCGCAGCUCCUUCCAGGCUGUAUGCAGAAGACCUCAAUGGAUCUCCCAGUGUUUUUGGGGAUAGCCUGCUCUCCAGGAAUGCAGCAAGGAAGACAGACUUGUGAUAUGGAAAUUGGUUGUCUUUAUCAGAAUAAAGCUAGCUGCUCAGUGUUUGAAUAAAGCACCUUUUGCUAUGAUGCUUUUUCAGUGUAAAUACACCAAGAUUUUGAAGUCUCUUUCUAAGCCAACAAACAAAUGCAUUAAAUGGCAA